Molecule: ribosomal RNA, 592 nt
Filed under: Barbichthys laevis (sucker barb)
Lineage: Eukaryota; Metazoa; Chordata; Actinopteri; Cypriniformes; Cyprinidae
Description: partial 16S ribosomal RNA
Rfam family: Bacterial large subunit ribosomal RNA
Source: RNAcentral
AAAACAUCGCCUCCUGCAACAUAACCAAGUAUAGGAGGUCCAGCCUGCCCAGUGACUACAAGUUCAACGGCCGCGGUAUUUUGACCGUGCAAAGGUAGCGCAAUCACUUGUCUUUUAAAUAGAGACCUGUAUGAAUGGCUAAACGAGGGCUUAACUGUCUCCCCUUUCAAGUCAGUGAAAUUGAUCUGCCCGUGCAGAAGCGGACAUAAUAAUACAAGACGAGAAGACCCUUUGGAGCUUAAGGUACAAAACUCAACCACGUUAAGCAACUCAUUAAAAAGUAAAAACCUUGUGAAUCAUGAAAUUUUACCUUCGGUUGGGGCGACCACGGAGGAAAAACAAGCCUCCAAGUGGACUGGGACACUUUCCUAAAACCAAGAGAAACAUCUCUAAGCCACAGAAUAUCUGACCAAACAUGAUCCGGCUAAUAAGAGCCGAUCAACGAACCAAGUUACCCUAGGGAUAACAGCGCAAUCCUCUCCCAGAGUCCAUAUCGACGAGGGGGUUUACGACCUCGAUGUUGGAUCAGGACAUCCUAAUGGUGCAGCCGCUAUUAAGGGUUCGUUUGUUCAACGAUUAAAGUCCUACGUGA